CCCUAAGAUAAGACUUCAAUAAAUCUUCUAAAUCGUAUAAAAGCAGUUGAGUCUCAAAAAAUCAAAUCAGAAUAAAAGUAAAGUCCACAAUUUUACAAAAAUGAAAACUCCAACUUUUGUGUUGUUAAUUCUUGCUUCAAUUUUUGCCAUUGUUUAUGGCCAAAACGGACAAUGUGCAGAUUCGUGUCCACAAAUUUUUGAUCCCGUUUGUGCUUUCAAUGGUGCGACUCAUGAAGAAUUCUCUAAUUCGUGCUAUUUGGCAAUUGCAAAUUGUAACAGCAAUAAUGCUUACACACCAGUAGAUCGUCAGAAUUGUAAAUAAAAUCUAAGAGCAUCCCGUAAUGAACUUUACUAUCCACAAAAUAUUUGGUGCACUUUUUUUUAAGAUUCAUAAAAAGCAAAUACACAUUUUUGUUCAAUACUUAA
Eupeodes corollae is the source of this 426-nucleotide long non-coding RNA. RefSeq lists it as uncharacterized. The transcript has 3 exons. The record is from RefSeq and is a predicted model, not a curated record. NCBI's taxonomy places the organism in Eukaryota, Metazoa, Arthropoda, Insecta, Diptera, Syrphidae.